This 28-nucleotide small RNA is filed under the name Bombyx mori (domestic silkworm). Its description in RNAcentral is "ovarian small RNA-6401". The record is from RNAcentral. Lineage: Eukaryota; Metazoa; Arthropoda; Insecta; Lepidoptera; Bombycidae.
UAGGAAUUAGUAAUAGCUCUAUAGACUC